GACGAACGCUGGCGGCGCGCUUAACACAUGCAAGUCGAACGGAAAGGCCUGCUUUCCCUUGUGGAUUGCGGGUACUCGAGUGGCGAACGGGUGAGUAACACGUGAGUGAUCUGCCCCCAACUUGGGUAUAAGCCUGGGAAACUGGGUCUAAUUCCCGAUAGGACUGCAGGGUGGUGCCUGUGGUGGAAAACGAUUUUCUAGUGGUUGGGGAUGAGCUCGCGGCCUAUCAGCUUGUUGGUGGGGUAAUGGCCUACCAAGGCGGCGACGGGUAGCCGGCCUGAGAGGGUGGACGGCCACAUUGGGACUGAGAUACGGCCCAGACUCCUACGGGAGGCAGCAGUGGGGAAUAUUGCAAAAUGGGCGGAAGCCUGAUGCAGCGACGCCGCGUGGGGGAUGACGGCCUUCGGGUUGUAAACUCCUUUCGACCGCGAGGAAGCCACCUGGUUGGAAGGGUGGUGACGGUAGUGGUAGAAGAAGCACCGGCUAACUACGUG
RNAcentral lists this ribosomal RNA (494 nucleotides) under uncultured bacterium. RNAcentral's name for it is "partial 16S ribosomal RNA". It matches the Rfam family "Bacterial small subunit ribosomal RNA", at positions 28 to 507 of the family's 1533-position model. The record is from RNAcentral.